RNAcentral lists this transfer RNA (70 nucleotides) under Marinobacter sp. RNAcentral's name for it is "tRNA-Lys". It matches the Rfam family "tRNA". From Rfam's summary of the family: Transfer RNA (tRNA) molecules are approximately 80 nucleotides in length. Their secondary structure includes four short double-helical elements and three loops (D, anti-codon, and T loops). Further hydrogen bonds mediate the characteristic L-shaped molecular structure. tRNAs have two regions of fundamental functional importance: the anti-codon, which is responsible for specific mRNA codon recognition, and the 3' end, to which the tRNAs corresponding amino acid is attached (by aminoacyl-tRNA synthetases). tRNAs cope with the degeneracy of the genetic code in two manners: having more than one tRNA (with a specific anti-codon) for a particular amino acid; and 'wobble' base-pairing, i.e. permitting non-standard base-pairing at the 3rd anti-codon position. Lineage: Bacteria; Pseudomonadati; Pseudomonadota; Gammaproteobacteria; Pseudomonadales; Marinobacteraceae. The record is from RNAcentral.
GGUCGUUAGCUCAGUUGGUAGAGCAGUUGGCUUUUAACCAAUUGGUCGAAGGUUCGAAUCCUUCACGACC